UGGUGAAGUGAUUUGUCUGGUUUAUUCCGAUAACGAACGAGACCUUAACCUGCUAAAUAGUUGUGCAGAUUGCCUAACGGGUGAAGUGUGGCUGUGGGGCUGGCUUGCUGGUCCCUGACUGCAUGGAACCUUGGUGACUCUGCAUCUAACUUCUUAGAGGGACAACCCACGGUAAGUGGGUGGAAGUUUAAGGCAAUAACA
RNAcentral lists this ribosomal RNA (201 nucleotides) under uncultured eukaryote. Its description in RNAcentral is "partial 18S ribosomal RNA". It matches the Rfam family "Eukaryotic small subunit ribosomal RNA", at positions 1299 to 1458 of the family's 1831-position model. The record is from RNAcentral.